This 1506-nucleotide ribosomal RNA is filed under the name metagenome. RNAcentral's name for it is "bacterial SSU rRNA". It matches the Rfam family "Bacterial small subunit ribosomal RNA". The record is from RNAcentral.
AGAGUUUGAUCAUGGCUCAGGACGAACGCUGGCGGCGUGCCUAAUACAUGCAAGUAGAACGCUGAAGAGAGGAGCUUGCUCUUCUUGGAUGAGUUGCGAACGGGUGAGUAACGCGUAGGUAACCUGCCUUGUAGCGGGGGAUAACUAUUGGAAACGAUAGCUAAUACCGCAUAACAAUGGAUGACACAUGUCAUUUAUUUGAAAGGGGCAAUUGCUCCACUACAAGAUGGACCUGCGUUGUAUUAGCUAGUAGGUGAGGUAAUGGCUCACCUAGGCGACGAUACAUAGCCGACCUGAGAGGGUGAUCGGCCACACUGGGACUGAGACACGGCCCAGACUCCUACGGGAGGCAGCAGUAGGGAAUCUUCGGCAAUGGGGGCAACCCUGACCGAGCAACGCCGCGUGAGUGAAGAAGGUUUUCGGAUCGUAAAGCUCUGUUGUAAGUCAAGAACGGGUGUGAGAGUGGAAAGUUCACACUGUGACGGUAGCUUACCAGAAAGGGACGGCUAACUACGUGCCAGCAGCCGCGGUAAUACGUAGGUCCCGAGCGUUGUCCGGAUUUAUUGGGCGUAAAGCGAGCGCAGGCGGUUUGAUAAGUCUGAAGUUAAAGGCUGUGGCUCAACCAUAGUUCGCUUUGGAAACUGUCAAACUUGAGUGCAGAAGGGGAGAGUGGAAUUCCAUGUGUAGCGGUGAAAUGCGUAGAUAUAUGGAGGAACACCGGUGGCGAAAGCGGCUCUCUGGUCUGUAACUGACGCUGAGGCUCGAAAGCGUGGGGAGCGAACAGGAUUAGAUACCCUGGUAGUCCACGCCGUAAACGAUGAGUGCUAGGUGUUGGAUCCUUUCCGGGAUUCAGUGCCGCAGCUAACGCAUUAAGCACUCCGCCUGGGGAGUACGACCGCAAGGUUGAAACUCAAAGGAAUUGACGGGGGCCCGCACAAGCGGUGGAGCAUGUGGUUUAAUUCGAAGCAACGCGAAGAACCUUACCAGGUCUUGACAUCCCGAUGCUAUUUCUAGAGAUAGAAAGUUACUUCGGUACAUCGGUGACAGGUGGUGCAUGGUUGUCGUCAGCUCGUGUCGUGAGAUGUUGGGUUAAGUCCCGCAACGAGCGCAACCCUUAUUGUUAGUUGCCAUCAUUCAGUUGGGCACUCUAGCGAGACUGCCGGUAAUAAACCGGAGGAAGGUGGGGAUGACGUCAAAUCAUCAUGCCCCUUAUGACCUGGGCUACACACGUGCUACAAUGGUUGGUACAACGAGUUGCGAGUCGGUGACGGCGAGCUAAUCUCUUAAAGCCAAUCUCAGUUCGGAUUGUAGGCUGCAACUCGCCUACAUGAAGUCGGAAUCGCUAGUAAUCGCGGAUCAGCACGCCGCGGUGAAUACGUUCCCGGGCCUUGUACACACCGCCCGUCACACCACGAGAGUUUGUAACACCCGAAGUCGGUGAGGUAACCUUUUGGAGCCAGCCGCCUAAGGUGGGACAGAUGAUUGGGGUGAAGUCGUAACAAGGUA